RNAcentral lists this transfer RNA (98 nucleotides) under Sulfurisphaera ohwakuensis. RNAcentral describes it as "tRNA-Met". It matches the Rfam family "tRNA". From Rfam's summary of the family: Transfer RNA (tRNA) molecules are approximately 80 nucleotides in length. Their secondary structure includes four short double-helical elements and three loops (D, anti-codon, and T loops). The record is from RNAcentral. Lineage: Archaea; Thermoproteati; Thermoproteota; Thermoprotei; Sulfolobales; Sulfolobaceae.
AGCGGCGUAGGGCAGCCUGGUAGCCCGCGGGGCUCAUAAGUGGGGUAAGUUCCCACGGUGAGACCCCGAGGUCCCUGGUUCAAGUCCAGGCGCCGCUA